Molecule: transfer RNA, 85 nt
Filed under: Halomonas caseinilytica
Lineage: Bacteria; Pseudomonadati; Pseudomonadota; Gammaproteobacteria; Oceanospirillales; Halomonadaceae
Description: tRNA_Asn_GTT
Source: RNAcentral
CUGUCGCUAGGUCUGCUGUGUUGAUCCCAAGUCCAAAUGACUGUUAAUCAUUGGGUCGCAGGUUCGAGUCCUGCUCGGGGAGCCA